UACGUAGGGUGCAAGCGUUUGUCCGGAAUUAUUGGGCGUAAAGAGCUCGUAGGCGGUCUGUCGCGUCUGCUGUGAAAACCUAGGGCUUAACUCUGGGCGUGCAGUGGGUACGGGCAGGCUAGAGUGCGGUAGGGGAGACUGGAAUUCCUGGUGUAGCGGUGAAAUGCGCAGAUAUCAGGAGGAACACCGGUGGCGAAGGCAGGUCUCUGGGCAUUAACUGACGCUGAGGAGCGAAAGCAUGGGGAGCGAACAGG
RNAcentral lists this ribosomal RNA (254 nucleotides) under uncultured bacterium. RNAcentral describes it as "partial 16S ribosomal RNA". It matches the Rfam family "Bacterial small subunit ribosomal RNA", at positions 524 to 776 of the family's 1533-position model. The record is from RNAcentral.